CCUACGGGCGGCAGCAGUGGGGAAUAUUGCACAAUGGGGGAAACCCUGAUGCAGCAACGCCGCGUGAGUGAUGACGGCCUUCGGGUUGUAAAGCUCUGUCUUCAGGGACGAUAAUGACGGUACCUGAGGAGGAAGCCACGGCUAACUACGUGCCAGCAGCCGCGGUAAUACGUAGGUGGCGGGCGUGGUCCGGAUUUACUGGGCGUAAAGGGAGCGUAGGCGGACUUUUAAGUGAGAAGUGAAAGACUCGGGCUCAACUUGAGGUCUGCAUUUCAAACUGUAAGGCUAGAGUGCAGGAGAGGAGAAUGGAAUUCCGAGUGUAGCGGUGAAAUGCGUAGAGAGUAGGAAGAACACCAGGGGCGAAGGCGAUUCUCUGGACUGUAACUGACGCUGAGGCUCGAAAGCGUGGGGAGCAAACAGGAUUAGAUACCCGUGUAGUC
Molecule: ribosomal RNA, 440 nt
Filed under: uncultured bacterium
Lineage: Bacteria
Description: partial 16S ribosomal RNA
Rfam family: Bacterial small subunit ribosomal RNA
Source: RNAcentral